Molecule: ribosomal RNA, 465 nt
Filed under: uncultured bacterium
Lineage: Bacteria
Description: partial 16S ribosomal RNA
Rfam family: Bacterial small subunit ribosomal RNA
Source: RNAcentral
AUGCACGCUGGCGGCGUGCUUAACACAUGCAAGUCGAACGAUGAAGCCCAGCUUGCUGGGUGGAUUAGUGGCGAACGGGUGAGUAACACGUGAGUAACCUGCCCUUAACUCUGGGAUAAGCCUGGGAAACUGGGUCUAAUACCGGAUAGGAGCGUCCACCGCAUGGUGGGUGUUGGAAAGAUUUAUCGGUUUUGGAUGGACUCGCGGCCUAUCAGCUUGUUGGUGAGGUAAUGGCUCACCAAGGCGACGACGGGUAGCCGGCCUGAGAGGGUGACCGGCCACACUGGGACUGAGACACGGCCCAGACUCCUACGGGAGGCAGCAGUGGGGAAUAUUGCACAAUGGGCGAAAGCCUGAUGCAGCGACGCCGCGUGAGGGAUGACGGCCUUCGGGUUGUAAACCUCUUUCAGUAGGGAAGAAGCGAAAGUGACGGUACCUGCAGAAGAAGCACCGGCUAACUACGUG